This 68-nucleotide transfer RNA is filed under the name Saguinus midas (Midas tamarin). RNAcentral describes it as "tRNA-Thr". It matches the Rfam family "tRNA". From Rfam's summary of the family: Transfer RNA (tRNA) molecules are approximately 80 nucleotides in length. Their secondary structure includes four short double-helical elements and three loops (D, anti-codon, and T loops). Further hydrogen bonds mediate the characteristic L-shaped molecular structure. tRNAs have two regions of fundamental functional importance: the anti-codon, which is responsible for specific mRNA codon recognition, and the 3' end, to which the tRNAs corresponding amino acid is attached (by aminoacyl-tRNA synthetases). tRNAs cope with the degeneracy of the genetic code in two manners: having more than one tRNA (with a specific anti-codon) for a particular amino acid; and 'wobble' base-pairing, i.e. permitting non-standard base-pairing at the 3rd anti-codon position. The record is from RNAcentral. Lineage: Eukaryota; Metazoa; Chordata; Mammalia; Primates; Cebidae.
GCCCUUGUAGUAUAGACCAAUACACCGGUCUUGUAAACCAGAGACGGAGAAAUUUUCUUCCUAGGGCA